UGCAAUUCUUAACCGAAAGCUGGUGAUCAAAAUGGUUGAAGGCAGUACCCAAGAAAGUACAUUUACAAAGUUGUGAGAAGUAGCCUAGCCUAUAUAACCUGAAGCUCACCCAAUAUGCAGUGUGUUCUGCUCUGUCAAUAACAACUCUGUAUGGCUGGUCUGACCUCAGUGGAAGUUGUUCGUUUAAAUGGUUUCGGGACAUUGAAGUAAAACAACACGAGAAUGUCCCACCAAGAGUGAAGGGCUGCCUGUUUGCUUCAGAUUCCCAGUCCUCCUCGCUGAUGAUUUCUGAAGUCCUUACGCAGUCACCCCAGUCUUCAACCUCAGUUUGUACAGAUGAGAUGCCAUACACAGGGGAUCCGACAGAAGACAGCAGACAGAAUUCGUCGAUCUAUUUGAAAUGUCAUUGUUUAUUUGAAAAAAGAUACCUAUCCACA
Molecule: long non-coding RNA, 437 nt
Organism: Mya arenaria
Lineage: Eukaryota; Metazoa; Mollusca; Bivalvia; Myida; Myidae
Exons: 6
Source: RefSeq, a predicted model, not a curated record